UUAAGUUGUCAAGGGCGCAUGGUGGAUGCCUUGGCACCAGGAGCCGAUGAAGGACGUGGGAGGCCGCGAUAGGCCUGGGGGAGUUGUCAACCGAGCUGUGAUCCCAGGAUGUCCGAAUGGGGAAACCCGGCACUGUUCAUACAGUGUCACCCGCCACUGAAUGUAUAGGUGGUGUGGAGGGAACGCGGGGAAGUGAAACAUCUCAGUACCCGUAGGAAGAGAAAACAACAGUGAUUCCGUGAGUAGUGGCGAGCGAAAGCGGAUGAGGCUAAACCGGUUGCGUGUGAUACCUGGUAGGGGUUGCGCAAUUGGGGUUGUGGGAGUGUGUGUCCAGUGUCUACCAGCAUUGGCUGCAGUAAGAAAGUGGUGUGUUAGUCGAACAGUCUGGGAAGGCUGACCGUAGACCGUGAGAGUCGGGUAGGCGAAAACACAUCACCUGCAGAUCGCAUUUCCCAAGUAGCGGCGGACCCCUGAAAUCUGCCGUGAAUCUGCCAGGACCACCUGGUAAGCCUAAAUACUUCCUGGUGACCGAUAGCGGACUAGUACCGUGAGGGAAAGGUGAAAAGUACCCCGGGAGGGGAGUGAAAUAGUACCUGAAACCAUGCGCUUACAAUCCGUUAGAGCCUGCGAGUUGUUUAGUCAACUGUGGGUGAUGGCGUGCCUUUUGAAGAAUGAGCCUGCGAGUUAGUGGUGCGUGGCGAGGUUAACCUGUGGAGGGUAGCCGUAGCGAAAGCGAGUCUGAAUAGGGCGAUAUAGUCGCGUGCUCUAGACCCGAAGCGGAGUGAUCUACCCAUGGGCAGGUUGAAGCGCGGGUAAGACCGUGUGGAGGACCGAACCCACCAGCGUUGAAAAGCUGGGGGAUGACCUGUGGGUAGGGGUGAAAGGCCAAUCAAACUCCGUGAUAGCUGGUUCUCCCCGAAAUGCAUUUAGGUGCAGCGUCGCGUGUUUCUUGCCGGAGGUAGAGCACUGAUUGGUCUAGGGGGCCGACAAGCUUACCGAAAUCAGUCAAACUCCGAAUGCCGGUAAGUGAGAGCGCGGCAGUGAGACUGCGGGGGAUAAGCUCCGUAGUCGAGAGGGAAACAGCCCAGAUCACCAGCUAAGGCCCCUAAGCGUGUACUAAGUGGAAAAGGAUGUGGGAUUGCACAGACAACCAGGAGGUUGGCUUAGAAGCAGCCACCCUUGAAAGAGUGCGUAAUAGCUCACUGGUCAAGUGGUUCUGCGCCGAUAAUGUAGCGGGGCUCAAGUACACCGCCGAAGCUGUGGCAUUCACGCAUUAACCCGGCUUGACCUUACGGGGUCUUGUCUAGGUGUGUGGAUGGGUAGGGGAGCGUCGUGUGGCGGGUGAAGCGGCAGGGUGACCUAGCCGUGGACGCCAUGCGAGUGAGAAUGCAGGCAUGAGUAGCGAAAGCAGGGUGAGAAACCCUGCCGCCGGAUGACCAAGGGUUCCAGGGCCAGGCUAAUCCGCCCUGGGUAAGUCGGGACCUAAGGCGAGGCCGAAAGGCGUAGUCGAUGGACAACGGGUUGAUAUUCCCGUACCCGCGAAGAAGCGACCAUGACGAACCUUCAUGUGCUAACCAUUCUAGACUGUGUCUGUCUGCCUUCGGGUGGGCUUCAUGGUGGACGGGUGGGAUCCUGUGGGGUAGUAGUCAAGCGAUGGGGUGACGCAGGAGGGUAGCUGGACCCGGUGAAUGGUAGAGCCGGGCUAAGCGUGUAGCCCGAGUCAUAGGUAAAUCCGUGACUCAUUAAGGGUGAGACGUGACGGGUAACCGAUUGAGGUGAAGCCAGUGAUCCCAUGCUGCCGAGAAAAGCCUCUAGCGAGUUUCGAGCGGCCCGUACCCCAAACCGACUCAGGUGGUCAGGUAGAGAAUACUAAGGCGAUCGGGUGAACUGUGGUUAAGGAACUCGGCAAAUUACCCCCGUAACUUCGGGAGAAGGGGGACCCUGUCUGGUGACCGGACUAGCUCCGUGAGCUGGCUGGGGUCGCAGUGACCAGGGGGAAGCGACUGUUUACUAAAAACACAGGUCCAUGCGAAGAAGUAAUUCGAUGUAUAUGGACUGACGCCUGCCCGGUGCUGGAACGUUAAGGGGACCUGUUAGCCUUCGGGCGAAGCGGAGAACUUAAGCGCCAGUAAACGGCGGUGGUAACUAUAACCAUCCUAAGGUAGCGAAAUUCCUUGUCGGGUAAGUUCCGACCUGCACGAAUGGCGUAACGACUUCCCCACUGUCUCAACCACAGGCCCGGCGAAAUUGCAUUACGAGUAAAGAUGCUCGUUACGCGCGGCAGGACGGAAAGACCCCGGGACCUUUACUAUAGCUUGGUAUUGGUGCUUGGAACAGUUUGUGUAGGAUAGGUGGGAGCCUGUGAAGCAUUCACGCUAGUGGGUGUGGAGGCAAUCUUGAAAUACCACUCUGAUUGUUCUGGGUAUCUAACCUCGGACCGUGAUCCGGUUCAGGGACAGUGCCUGGUGGGUAGUUUAACUGGGGCGGUUGCCUCCCAAAAUGUAACGGAGGCGCCCAAAGGUUCCCUCAGCCUGGUUGGCAAUCAGGUGUUGAGUGUAAGUACACAAGGGAGCUUGACUGUGAGACCGACGGGUCAAGCAGGUGCGAAAGCAGGGACUAGUGAUCCGGCACUUGCGAGUGGAAGCGGUGUCGCUCAACGGAUAAAAGGUACCCCGGGGAUAACAGGCUGAUCUUCCCCAAGAGUCCAUAUCGACGGGAUGGUUUGGCACCUCGAUGUCGGCUCGUCGCAUCCUGGGGCUGGAGUAGGUCCCAAGGGUUGGGCUGUUCGCCCAUUAAAGCGGCACGCGAGCUGGGUUUAGAACGUCGUGAGACAGUUCGGUCCCUAUCCGCCGUGCGCGUAGGAUACUUGAGAAGGGCUGUCCCUAGUACGAGAGGACCGGGACGGACGAACCUCUGGUGUGCCAGUUGUCUUGCCAAAGGCACGGCUGGUUGGCUACGUUCGGAAGAGAUAACCGCUGAAAGCAUCUAAGCGGGAAACUCGCUUCAAGAUAAGGUAUCCCAUCCCGCAAGGGAGUAAGGCCCCCAGCUAGACUACUGGGUUGAUAGGCCGGAAAUGUACGCACAGUAAUGUGUUCAGUUGACCGGUACUAAUAGGCCGAGGACUUAAC
RNAcentral lists this ribosomal RNA (3128 nucleotides) under Phytomonospora endophytica. RNAcentral's name for it is "23S ribosomal RNA". It matches the Rfam family "Bacterial large subunit ribosomal RNA". The record is from RNAcentral. Lineage: Bacteria; Bacillati; Actinomycetota; Actinomycetes; Micromonosporales; Micromonosporaceae.